This is a long non-coding RNA of Cygnus olor (mute swan), 626 nucleotides long. RefSeq lists it as uncharacterized. The transcript is spliced from 3 exons. The record is from RefSeq and is a predicted model, not a curated record. NCBI's taxonomy places the organism in Eukaryota, Metazoa, Chordata, Aves, Anseriformes, Anatidae.
CUCUGGUUCCCUUGUGCCAACCCUGGCAUGUUCAGAGGCCGAGACCUUCGUCCCUCUAUUCUCCCACGUUUCCUUUGCAAAGAAGGUUAAGAAUAAGAUAAAGACACCAUGGAGAGCCCCUGUCCAACACUGCAGAAACGGCUGAUGGGAUCUAAAGUGGGAUGCUUCAUGAGUGUGGGGAGCAUCAAGCCUAGGCGUAUGGAGCACCCUCUGGGAGGUAAAGUGAACAAAGUGAAUAUCAGAACCUGUCUUUGCAAGAGACUCUCCUCCCUUCCAUAAUUAUCUCCAUCCCUGUGGACAUUAGGCUGAAGUAAUGGAAUGUGAGUGCAAUCUCAUCAGUGGUUUUAGAAACCCAGCAAAACAAGUGACAAACUGCUAUAGACUGCUCCUUCACUUCACACCUGACAAAAGCAGUGGAAAACAGUCUUCUGGGUCCCCCCUCCACAAAACAAGAGAGUUGUAAAGAGGUUUUUGACACCUUUUCAUCAGCCUUCAAAAUGCCAAGUCUGGUUGAAAGGCUUGGGAAGAGCUUUAUAUAAGAAAUGUAGCUUAUCUAGUUGUCUUGUUCAAUUAAGUGUAUUUGUCCUGAGUUUUAUAAAAUAAAUUUGAUAUACACUGGGGUGAAA